UGUGCAUUGAUUAAACCUGAGAACUUCUUUUUUCUCCCUUCUCCCUUUGCCCAAAUGCCCACAAAUGUGCAUAGCUCACCAGCCCUCCAAGUCUUAAAUAUGUAGUUCCAAAUUCUGAAUUUAUGUCCUGGGAUUUGAGAGAAGCACAGAACUUUUAUCUGAGAAAUACAAGUUAUUUUAAUGAUCAGACCCAGUGAUGUGUUAAAAUGAGACCACAGUCAUGUACUGUUCCCCUCUUUGAACUAUUUGUCUUUUGUAAUUGUGUGCUAUUGCCACAA
RNAcentral lists this long non-coding RNA (278 nucleotides) under Homo sapiens (human). RNAcentral's name for it is "HSALNT0317708". Lineage: Eukaryota; Metazoa; Chordata; Mammalia; Primates; Hominidae. The record is from RNAcentral.